AGCCUGAUCCAGCCAUGCCGCGUGUGUGAAGAAGGCCUUCGGGUUGUAAAGCACUUUCAGCGAGGAAGAACGCCUUGGGAUUAAUACUCCCGAGGAAAGACAUCACUCGCAGAAGAAGCACCGGCUAACUCCGUGCCAGCAGCCGCGGUAAUACGGAGGGUGCAAGCGUUAAUCGGAAUUACUGGGCGUAAAGCGCGCGUAGGUGGCUAAGUCAGCCAGGUGUGAAAGCCCCGGGCUCAACCUGGGAACGGCAUCUGGAACUGCUUGGCUAGAGUGCAGGAGAGGAAGGUAGAAUUCCCGGUGUAGCGGUGAAAUGCGUAGAGAUCGGGAGGAAUACCAGUGGCGAAGGCGGCCUUCUGGACUGACACUGACACUGAGGUGCGAAAGCGUGGGUAGCAAACAGGAUUAGAUACCCUGGUAGUCCACGCCGUAAACGAUGUCAACUAGCCGUUGGGUCCCUUGAGGACUUAGUGGCGCAGCUAACGCAAUAAGUUGACCGCCUGGG
This 505-nucleotide ribosomal RNA is filed under the name Cobetia sp. EBKC22. RNAcentral describes it as "bacterial SSU rRNA". It matches the Rfam family "Bacterial small subunit ribosomal RNA", at positions 380 to 877 of the family's 1533-position model. Lineage: Bacteria; Pseudomonadati; Pseudomonadota; Gammaproteobacteria; Oceanospirillales; Halomonadaceae. The record is from RNAcentral. RNAcentral also lists the same sequence under 1 other name.